UUGAGUUACGAUAAUUACUAUAUCAAUUUACAAGAUUAUAGUAACUCCUUACUAAGUGAUUUACUGUAACAUUACGGUAAAUAUUCUCAUGUGUUAUAGUAAUCCAACUAUCGUAAAUAUGUAUACAUAUUAUCGUAAAUUAGUAUAUAAAAUUAUCGUAAAUUAG
RNAcentral lists this microRNA precursor (166 nucleotides) under Sorghum bicolor (sorghum). RNAcentral describes it as "MIR6217 microRNA precursor family". It matches the Rfam family "MIR6217 microRNA precursor family", at positions 32 to 197 of the family's 228-position model. The record is from Rfam by way of RNAcentral. Lineage: Eukaryota; Viridiplantae; Streptophyta; Magnoliopsida; Poales; Poaceae.